AUCAUGUCAUCUGAUUUUCACGUAUAUCCAUUUGGUGUCAAAGCUGUCAAUCACGCCGCGUAUCUCCCGCCCUGUGGAAGCAUCUCGCCGGUCUCGUGAAGUUUCAUCGAAGCUCAGCACUGGAUAGCCGAAUAACACUGUGAGGAUGUCUGUCUCUGUAAAGGAGCUGUGUGAAUUGAUGAAUGUUAACUAUGAUAGGGCUGUUAUUGAGGCGAUUGCGAGGGUCAACAAUGAGGAGGAAGAUUCACUUGAAAGUGACAGUUCUCAGACAGCUGCCAAUGAGGAUUCUCUGGAAAGUGAUAAAGAAAAUCAUUCCGAAAUAGCUGCCAGUGAGG
Long non-coding RNA from Cyprinus carpio (common carp), 335 nucleotides. RefSeq lists it as uncharacterized. Lineage: Eukaryota; Metazoa; Chordata; Actinopteri; Cypriniformes; Cyprinidae. The transcript has 4 exons. The record is from RefSeq and is a predicted model, not a curated record.